RNAcentral lists this ribosomal RNA (468 nucleotides) under uncultured bacterium. RNAcentral describes it as "partial 16S ribosomal RNA". It matches the Rfam family "Bacterial small subunit ribosomal RNA", at positions 28 to 507 of the family's 1533-position model. The record is from RNAcentral.
GACGAACGCUGGCGGCGUGCUUAACACAUGCAAGUCGAACGGAAAGGCCCUGCUUUUGUGGGGUGCUCGAGUGGCGAACGGGUGAGUAACACGUGAGUAACCUGCCCUUGACUUUGGGAUAACUUCAGGAAACUGGGGCUAAUACCGGAUAGGAGCUCCUGCUGCAUGGUGGGGGUUGGAAAGUUUCGGCGGUUGGGGAUGGACUCGCGGCUUAUCAGCUUGUUGGUGGGGUAGUGGCUUACCAAGGCUUUGACGGGUAGCCGGCCUGAGAGGGUGACCGGCCACAAUGGGACUGAGAUACGGCCCAGACUCCUACGGGAGGCAGCAGUGGGGAAUAUUGCACAAUGGGCGGAAGCCUGAUGCAGAGACGCCGCGUGCGGGAUGACGGCCUUCGGGUGGGAAACCGCUUUCGCCUGUGACGAAGCGUGAGUGACGGUAAUGGGUAAAGAAGCACCGGCUAACUACGUG